RNAcentral lists this ribosomal RNA (483 nucleotides) under uncultured Saprospiraceae bacterium. RNAcentral's name for it is "bacterial SSU rRNA". It matches the Rfam family "Bacterial small subunit ribosomal RNA", at positions 28 to 505 of the family's 1533-position model. Lineage: Bacteria; Pseudomonadati; Bacteroidota; Saprospiria; Saprospirales; Saprospiraceae. The record is from RNAcentral.
GAUGAACGCUAGCGGAAGGCUUAAUACAUGCAAGUCGAGGGGUAACAUGAGAGCUUGCUCUUGAUGACGACCGGCGAACGGGUGAGUAACGCGUACACAAUCUACCUAUAAGAUCGGGAUAGCCCUGGGAAACUGGGAUUAAUACCGGAUGUGGUCACAUUAUCGCAUGAUAGAGUGAUUAAAAGUCAGCUGCUUAUAGAUGAGUGUGCGUACUAUUAGUUUGUUGGUGAGGUAACGGCUCACCAAGACUACGAUAGUUAGGGGGCGUGAGAGCGUGGACCCCCACACGGGUACUGAGACACGGACCCGACUCCUACGGGAGGCAGCAGUAAGGAAUAUUGGACAAUGGGUGAAAACCUGAUCCAGCCAUUCCGCGUGCAGGAUUGACGGCCCUAUGGGUUGUAAACUGCUUUUAUAUGGGAAGAACAACCGAGAUUUAUCUUGGUGUGACGGUACCAUACGAAUAAGCACCGGCUAACUCCG